Molecule: non-coding RNA, 132 nt
Organism: Annulohypoxylon maeteangense
Lineage: Eukaryota; Fungi; Ascomycota; Sordariomycetes; Xylariales; Hypoxylaceae
Source: the annotation of a RefSeq genome assembly
GCCCGGUUAGCUCAAUCGGUAGAGGUUAGUAGACAUCAAUCAUCCGAUUUGAUUCCUUCAUCUUAUACUAACUUCUUCCAUAGCGUGAGACUCUUAAUCUCAAGGUUGCGGGUUCGACCCCCGCAUCGGGCU